UUGACCUCGGAUCAGGUAGGGAUACCCGCUGAACUUAAGCAUAUCAAUAAGCGGAGGAAAAGAAACCAACCGGGAUUGCCUCAGUAACGGCGAGUGAAGCGGCAAGAGCUCAAAUUUGAAAGCUGGCCCCUCCGGGGUCCGCGUUGUAAUUUGCAGAGGAUGCUUCGGGUGCGGCCCCUGUCUAAGUGCCCUGGAACGGGCCGUCAGAGAGGGUGAGAAUCCCGUCUUGGGCAGGGUGCCCGUGCCCGUGUGAAGCUCCUUCGACGAGUCGAGUUGUUUGGGAAUGCAGCUCUAAAUGGGUGGUAAAUUUCAUCUAAAGCUAAAUACCGGCCGGAGACCGAUAGCGCACAAGUAGAGUGAUCGAAAGAUGAAAAGCACUUUGAAAAGAGAGUUAAACAGCACGUGAAAUUGUUGAAAGGGAAGCGCUUGCGACCAGACUCGGCCCCGGGGUUCAGCCAGCACUCGUGCUGGUGUACUUCCCCGGGGGCGGGCCAGCGUCGGUUUGGGCGGCCGGUCAAAGGCCCCAGGAAUGUAUCACCCUCCGGGGUUGUCUUAUAGCCUGGGGUGCAAUGCGGCCAGCCUGGACCGAGGAACGCGCUUCGGCACGGACGCUGGCGUAAUGGUCGCAAACGACC
Molecule: ribosomal RNA, 635 nt
Filed under: Aspergillus desertorum
Lineage: Eukaryota; Fungi; Ascomycota; Eurotiomycetes; Eurotiales; Aspergillaceae
Description: eukaryotic LSU rRNA
Rfam family: Eukaryotic large subunit ribosomal RNA
Source: RNAcentral